CCCACCCUAGGAGUGGCCUCCUUAUAGGACACUUGAAAUAUUUGUCAUAGUUACCUAAUGGCUGUUGAUGCCUCCCCCACCUCUGGCCCAUCCAGGAUCACAGCUCUGGGCUGGAAAGAAGCAUAGAGGUCAAUCAGUCCAAUCCCCUCAUUUUACAGCAAGCAGUUAUAAGGGAACUGAUAUGUGCAAGAAAUCUUCUGGGAAGAAAAAAGACAGAAGAAAACCUAAAACAGCCUCAAGAAACUUGUAUUCGGUUGUGGAUGAAGAAGGCCUGGCUGGGGAGGGGGGUGUUGCUGGGCAUAGGGGAAGAAUGCUACAAGUGAAAGAUAAAUGGACACAAGUCAUGUUGUAA
This 352-nucleotide long non-coding RNA is filed under the name Phascolarctos cinereus (koala). RNAcentral's name for it is "lncRNA (ENSPCIG00000037108.1)". Lineage: Eukaryota; Metazoa; Chordata; Mammalia; Diprotodontia; Phascolarctidae. The record is from RNAcentral.